Molecule: ribosomal RNA, 484 nt
Filed under: uncultured bacterium
Lineage: Bacteria
Description: partial 16S ribosomal RNA
Rfam family: Bacterial small subunit ribosomal RNA
Source: RNAcentral
AUUGAACGCUGGCGGCAGGCCUAACACAUGCAAGUCGAGCGGAUGAAGGGAGCUUGCUCCUGGAUUCAGCGGCGGACGGGUGAGUAAUGCCUAGGAAUCUGCCUGGUAGUGGGGGAUAACGUCCGGAAACGGGCGCUAAUACCGCAUACGUCCUGAGGGAGAAAGUGGGGGGUCUUCGGACCUCACGCUAUCAGAUGAGCCUAGGUCGGAUUAGCUAGUUGGUGGGGUAAAGGCCUACCAAGGCGACGAUCCGUAACUGGUCUGAGAGGAUGAUCAGUCACACUGGAACUGAGACACGGUCCAGACUCCUACGGGAGGCAGCAGUGGGGAAUAUUCGACAAUGGGCGAAAGCCUGAUCCAGCCAUGCCGCGUGUGUGAAGAAGGUCUUCGGAUUGUAAAGCACUUUAAGUUGGGAGGAAGGGCAGUAAGUUAAUACCUUGCUGUUUUGACGUUACCAACAGAAUAAGCACCGGCUAACUUCGUG